CGGACCUGUUAAGACACGAAAAAACCAGGUCGUGUCGUGUCGUGCUAACAGGACCGUGUCAGAAAUUGUCUGCUCUAGGUUCGUUACAGAUUACAAGUGUUUCCAAUUUUAUUCUUUAGUUCAUCUGAAAGAUUUUUCCUGUACAAAGUACAAUAGAAAAGAUCUACAGCUGGAAUUGAAGAGCACAAUGUGCGUUAGGCAAGGUCGUCUCUUGAGAAUGCUUGAGUACUGGUACUUGCACUUGCCAAUCGGCCCACACAGAUGAGGCAAUACUUUAAGCAGAGAUAUGCAAGCAAAAGCUACUUAUUUUCUGCUCAUGAAAAGAUGGGAACAAGCUUCCGUGAGUACGUUAUGCUAUUAAAAUGCUAACUGUGAAGGCUAACAUCUCUAUGUGAUGUUCUGGUUUUUGUUAUUAACCUUAUAUAGUUGUAUGGUCAUUUCCACGUUGUAUAAUGAUUCAUUUUACCCAGUUAUUGUAUAGGAAAUUAAUAGAAAGGCAGUUGCUAUUCAA
Erigeron canadensis is the source of this 511-nucleotide long non-coding RNA. RefSeq lists it as uncharacterized. NCBI's taxonomy places the organism in Eukaryota, Viridiplantae, Streptophyta, Magnoliopsida, Asterales, Asteraceae. The transcript is spliced from 2 exons. The record is from RefSeq and is a predicted model, not a curated record.